CCUACGGGAGGCAGCAGUGGGGAAUAUUGGGCAAUGGGCGCAAGCCUGACCCAGCAACGCCGCGUGAAGGAAGAAGGCUUUCGGGUUGUAAACUUCUUUUAUCAGGGACGAAGCAAGUGACGGUACCUGAUGAAUAAGCCACGGCUAACUACGUGCCAGCAGCCGCGGUAAUACGUAGGUGGCAAGCGUUAUCCUGAUUUACUGGGUGUAAAGGGCGUGUAGGCGGGAAAGCAAGUCAGAUGUGAAAACCAUGGGCUCAACCUGUGGCCUGCAUUUGAAACUGUUUUUCUUGAGUACUGGAGAGGCAGACGGAAUUCCUAGUGUAGCGGUGAAAUGCGGAGAGAUUAGGAGGAACACCAGUGGCGAAGGCGGUCUGCUGGACAGCAACUGACGCUGAGGCGCGAAAGCGUGGGGAGCAAACAGGAUUAGAUACCCCGGUAGUC
RNAcentral lists this ribosomal RNA (443 nucleotides) under uncultured bacterium. RNAcentral's name for it is "partial 16S ribosomal RNA". It matches the Rfam family "Bacterial small subunit ribosomal RNA", at positions 338 to 795 of the family's 1533-position model. The record is from RNAcentral.